Molecule: long non-coding RNA, 280 nt
Filed under: Physcomitrium patens
Lineage: Eukaryota; Viridiplantae; Streptophyta; Bryopsida; Funariales; Funariaceae
Description: long non-coding RNA (PPAT_LNC010109)
Source: RNAcentral
AGAAUUUGAUUAAGAUUUGAUUUAGGAUUUAAGAUUUGGUUAGAAUUUGAUUUAGGAUUUAGAAUUUGAUUAAGAUUUAGUAUAGGAUUUAGGAUUUGUUUAGGAUUUGGUAUAGGAUUUAGAGUUUGGCUAGGAUUUUAUUAGGAUUUGGUUUACGAUUUAGAAUUUUUCUAGGAUUUGAUUUAGAGUUUAAGAUUUUUCUAGAGUUUGAUUUAGGAUUUAAGAUUUUUUUAGAGUUUGAUUGAAGUCUAUUAAGAUUUCAACUAGGAUUAAAUUAUAA